Molecule: long non-coding RNA, 2496 nt
Filed under: Anolis carolinensis (green anole)
Lineage: Eukaryota; Metazoa; Chordata; Lepidosauria; Squamata; Anolidae
Description: lncRNA (ENSACAG00000038662.1)
Source: RNAcentral
AUGCCAGCUGAGAUCUUUUGGCACGGCACCCCAUGUGCCCAUCACCACUGGGACCACCUGCACUGGUUUCUGCCAGAGUCUUUGAAGUUCAAUCUUGAGGUCCUGAUAGCGGCUGAGAUCUUUUGGCACGGCACCCAAUGUGCCCAUCACCACCGGGACCACCUGCACUGGUUUCUGCCAGAGUCUUUGAAGUUCAAUCUUGAGGUCCUGAUAGCGGCUGAGUUUUUCCUGUUGUUUUUCAUCAAUGCGACUGUCACCUGGGAUGGCGACAUCAAUUAUCCAAACCUUGUUCUUUUCCACAACUGUGAUAUCUGGUGUGUUGUGUUCCAGAACUUUGUCAGUCUGGAUUCGGAAGUCCCACAGUAUCUUUGCGUGUUCAUUUAUUAUUAUUAUCAUUUAUUAUUAUUAUUAUUAUUAUUAUUAUUAUUAUUAUUAUUAUUAUUAUUAUUAUUAUUUUCACUGGCCAAUGCACAUUUUAUAUCUUAUGCAUGGGUAUGUCACUAACAGGAUGCCAGCCUUGGUUUGAACAUCCAAAAUACUAAAGAGCUUUCUUUUGGAUUUACACUUAACUGGCUUUGUAAGUCACAUCCAAUUCUGAAUUGCAACAGUUCACACAACACAACCUUUCUUCAUUUAUGAUAUGGGAAGCCAUGCCAGCGCUGCAGUAUUUUACCAAAACCAUUAUUUCUAUUAUCAUGUAUUAACAAACUUGUUGCAGUCACGAAGGCUUACACAGAGAGAACCAGGCAAGGCAUGUCUUCAGGCAUUUGUAUAUGAAAACAGCACGUCCAGGGAGAGGUGAACAUGCAGCUUGUGGUGAGCAACUCCACUAAUUUCACAUUCCUGUUUCAGAGUAUGAACAUACAUUUGCACACAUACCACUCUGCACAUGUGUGAUAAUAAAGGGAGAAAGUUAGCUCAGGUCAAUCUUCUUCCCACUCCAACUGCUGGGAAUCAGCCGAAUUUUGCCGACCAGAUGCCAUGGAAACGCCAAUCCUACAAAAAUAUUCAAUAGCACUUCCUUUUUAAAAAAUAACUAAUUGAGGCGCAGAGGACUGACACCCAUUGGAAUUCAUUCCCUGUGAGCUGCUGAGAAGGACAGCAAGGGUUGCUGGGAAAUAAAGACAGGCAUGGGUGCCCAGUGCUCAUUGGCAAGCUGAGGGGCCUUUCAGUGUGCUGGACCAAAUUUCUACAUUCAGGGAGUAAUGAAACGAUGUAAAAUCCUUGUGUUUGCCCACAUUUAUGCAUUAUUAACCAGUUCUUUCUCCCAUUCCUUCUCCCCAUUUCUCCUGCUUUGCUUUCAUUUAUAUAUCUAUAUAUAAAAGGGUGAUGAAAUUUCGGCCUAGGACAAAACAACAAAACUACACAUCCCAGAAACACUAAACUUGGCAGCACAACCCCUCAUCCAUGCCUCUACGUUCAUUCAACAAAAAGAAAAGAAAAAUAGUCCUAAUUAGAGGGAGGGGAAUAAUUGUUUUUAUCCAAUUGCUGCCAGUUAAAAGCCUAAGCUCCGCCCACUUGGUGUCCUAGCAACCCACUCAGCCCAGGGGACAGGCAGAGUUAGGCCUCACUUAGGCCUCUUCCCCACUGCCUAUAAAAUACAGAUUAUCAGAUUUGAACUGGAUUAUAUGGCAGUGCAGACUCAAGGCCCUUCCACACAGCUAUAGAACCCAUUUAUAAUCUUAUAUUAUCUCCUUUGAACUGGAUUAUCUUGACUCCACACUGCCAUAUAAUCCAUUUCAGUGUGCAGUCGGACACAACUGGACUUAAUGUCAUGAGAAAACCUUUACCCUUUACCUUAACUACCACCAAUUCCUCAAUACUUUAUUUCCCAUACCACCAGACUUCGCCACAGCAACGCGUGGCCGGGCACAGCUAGUAUACACACACACACACACACACACACACACAUAUAUACACACACACACACAUACACACACACACACACACACACAUAAAGGAGCCCCGGUGGCGAAGUGUGUUAAAGCACUGAGCUGAAGACUGAAAGGUCCCAGGUUCAAAUCCUGGGAGCGGAGUGAGUGCCCGCUGUUAGCUCCAGCUCCUGCCAACCUAGCAGUUCGAAAACAUGCCAAUGUGAGUAGAUUAAUAGGUACCGCUCCGGUGGGAAGGUAACGGCGCUCCAUGCAGUCAUGCUGGCCACAUGGCCUUGGAGGUGUCUACAGACAAUGCUGGCUCUUCGGCUUAGAAAUGGAGAUGAGCACCAACCCCCAGAGUCAGACAUGACUGGACUUAAAGUCAGGGGAAACCUUUACCUUAUAUACAUACAUACAUACAUACACACACACACACAUACAAACUUAGUCCUUCCCAUCCCAAAUUGACCUCCAAUGAAUUGGUAGCACUUUAUCUGUUAUCUUGAGUUUACAACCUAUAACAAAGUGCACUUUAGCUAGUCUAUCACUCAACUUCGCUGCUUUUAAUUCCGUGUUUUAUUAAGUGUGUUUUUAUUUCAUAGGUUAAUGUUUAAAUUUUAUG